RNAcentral lists this long non-coding RNA (1443 nucleotides) under Mytilus galloprovincialis (Mediterranean mussel). Lineage: Eukaryota; Metazoa; Mollusca; Bivalvia; Mytilida; Mytilidae. The record is from RNAcentral.
GGGGAAUUAAGGCAUAGGGGAAAGGUGGCGGGCCUCAGGUGGGCAUGGUACUCGGACACUUUAACAAAUUCUGCAUGGUUGAUCAUGGUUUCUGACCAUUAAUGAUUAAGAAUGUUUGACCCGCAUGUGUGCAUCCCUGGUCAGUCUGCAAAAUGUCGACAUAAAAUAAUUUAGUCAAUAGUCAAUGAAGAUCGGAUUGUUUAUAAGCAAGUAAAAUAGUGUUAACGUGGAAACUUAAUUCAAAGGAAGUUUCCACAGACUGCCCACAUCAUGUUGACAGCGAAACGUGUAAAUAACCACAUUUUUAAGUAAACAUGCAGCUUUCUCGUCAGACUAUAUUUCCUUCUGGAGUGUUCCUGCUAUGAAAACGAACGAGAAGAUAUGCUACACCAAAUAUCCAAAGAGGUCGUGGUCAGAAACUUGAAUUUAGCUACUAUGCUAACGAGACUGGACGGCGAGAACACAGAAGAGACAAAAGCCAAACUACAAACAGUGGCUCAUUACAUUGACAGAACGGGCAGAUUUAAUACUGCUGUUCCACAAUCCCAAUCUUAACCAGCGCAUACCAAUUUAAAGCACAGAGAAGAAAAUACGUCGAGGAAAACGCACCAGAGAGGAAAACCGCACAUUGGGACAAUUCGUGCCAACAGGCCUUAAGAUUGAGGAUUGAGGAUACAUUCAUUGAUUGAUUGAUUGUUGGUUGCUUAACGUCCAGUGGCAAAUAUUUCAUGCAUAUUCAGGACGAGAACAAGUUCACAAUAAAUACAAUAGGUAGGUUGUUGUAAUAGAGGCCAUCUAGGAUGAUGGUCGGGGAAAUUUGGACUGCCACUGGAAAAUGAGGGUAUAUUGGAUAGGGACAGAAAUUUUGCCUUGCAACAGGCCACCUACGGACCCCUCAAAGAGUUGUUGCAAGGGUUCUUAACGUGCAAAGAGCGUGGCACUCUCUUUACACGAGGCAUCGGAUUUAACGUCCCCUUCUGACGGACGUGACUGCGAACUUGAUACAUCCCGCACAGCCAAACGGACGCCCCACUCCAGCAAGCGUUUUACUGCCGGUCGGGAGAAGACCAAGUGACCAUAUUUCUAUACCCCAGUCACCCUUGGGGAUGAGGAUACAUUCAUAAUCGUGAAUGAAAUGACUAUCCAACAUCCUCGGCAGAAGGCUAAAAUGAUUUAAAACUAACGUACCUCAAAAAUAAGCAACACACAACUAUAUUAACGUGUUGUUGUCGAACUGGUGACACUGACUUCUAUCAUAACCAGGUGCCUGAUCAGCUGUUCGUGACAAGCUCAAGAUUGACGUCGACGAAACGUUCUAGCCAAUCACGUGUCAAAUAGUUGAGAAAACGACGUCAGAUUUAGAUUGCGAUGCAAACACCGAAAAUCAUUGCCAAUUUUUUUAAACUGCAUUAACCUGCCUGCGAAGGCCUUAAAAUGGCCCCC